CUGGCCCUGAAUCAAGGCCAGCAGCUUCCUGAUGCUGUUGGUUUCAAGCAGGAGCCUAAAGAGAUGUCUUUCUACAGUCUUUUAGCCAUUUCAGAACUUGGGCAGUGAAAUGGUCAAUUCAUUAGAAAGACACAGCU
Small nucleolar RNA from Cavia aperea (Brazilian guinea pig), 137 nucleotides. NCBI's taxonomy places the organism in Eukaryota, Metazoa, Chordata, Mammalia, Rodentia, Caviidae. The record is from Ensembl.